RNAcentral lists this ribosomal RNA (497 nucleotides) under uncultured bacterium. RNAcentral's name for it is "partial 16S ribosomal RNA". It matches the Rfam family "Bacterial small subunit ribosomal RNA", at positions 28 to 507 of the family's 1533-position model. The record is from RNAcentral.
GAUGAACGCUGGCGGCGUGCCUAAUACAUGCAAGUCGAGCGAACAGAUGAGGAGCUUGCUCCUCUGACGUUAGCGGCGGACGGGUGAGUAACACGUGGAUAACCUACCUAUAAGACUGGGAUAACUUCGGGAAACCGGAGCUAAUACCGGAUAAUAUAUUGAACCGCAUGGUUCAAUAGUGAAAGACGGUUUUGCUGUCACUUAUAGAUGGAUCCGCGCCGCAUUAGCUAGUUGGUAAGGUAACGGCUUACCAAGGCAACGAUGCGUAGCCGACCUGAGAGAGUGAUCGGCCACACUGGAACUGAGACACGGUCCAGACUCCUACGGGAGGCAGCAGUAGGGAAUCUUCCGCAAUGGGCGAAAGCUUGACGGAGCAACGCCGCGUGAGUGAUGAAGGUCUUCGGAUCGUAAAACUCUGUUAUUAGGGAAGAACAAAUGUGUAAGUAACUAUGCACGUCUUGACGGUACCUAAUCAGAAAGCCACGGCUAACUACGUG